This 69-nucleotide transfer RNA is filed under the name Marmota monax (woodchuck). Its description in RNAcentral is "tRNA.Ala". The stretch from base 4 to 64 matches the Rfam family "tRNA", at positions 6 to 65 of the family's 71-position model. From Rfam's summary of the family: Transfer RNA (tRNA) molecules are approximately 80 nucleotides in length. Their secondary structure includes four short double-helical elements and three loops (D, anti-codon, and T loops). Lineage: Eukaryota; Metazoa; Chordata; Mammalia; Rodentia; Sciuridae. The record is from RNAcentral.
GUAUGUAACUCAGUGGUAGAGUGUUUGCCUAGCAUGCAUGAGGCACUGGGUUCAAUCCUCAGCACCACA